RNAcentral lists this ribosomal RNA (832 nucleotides) under Pochazia shantungensis. Its description in RNAcentral is "SSU rRNA". It matches the Rfam family "Eukaryotic small subunit ribosomal RNA", at positions 791 to 1635 of the family's 1831-position model. The record is from RNAcentral. Lineage: Eukaryota; Metazoa; Arthropoda; Insecta; Hemiptera; Ricaniidae.
CUAACUUAUGUUGUGUGCAUGGAAUAAUGGAAUAGGACCUCGGUUCUAUUUUGUUGGUUUUCGGAAUCUGAGGUAAUGAUCAAUGGGGACAGGCGGGGGCAUUCGUAUUGCGACGUUAGAGGUGAAAUUCUUGGAUCGUCGCAAGACGGACCGAAGCGAAAGCAUUUGCCAAGUAUGUUCUCGUCGAUCAAGAACGAAAGUUAGAGGUUCGAAGGCGAUCAGAUACCGCCCUAGUUCUAACCAUAAACUAUGCCUGCCAGCGAUCCGCCGAAGUUCCUCCGAUGACUCGGCGGGCAGCUUCCGGGAAACCAGAGCUUUUGGGUUCCGGGGGAAGUAUGGUUGCAAAGCUGAAACUUAAAGGAAUUGACGGAAGGGCACCACCAGGAGUGGAGCCUGCGGCUUAAUUUGACUCAACACGGGAAAACUCACCAGGCCCGGACACCGGAAGGAUUGACAGAUUGAGAGCUCUUUCUUGAUUCGGUGGGUGGUGGUGCAUGGCCGUUCUUAGUUGGUGGAGCGAUUUGUCUGGUUAAUUCCGAUAACGAACGAGACUCUAGCCUACUAACUAGGCGUACCCGGUAUCCACAAUCGUGCUACCGGCGAUCAAAUUUCUUCUUAGAGGGACAGGCGGCUUCUAGCCGCACGAGACUGAGCAAUAACAGGUCUGUGAUGCCCUUAGAUGUCCUGGGCCGCACGCGCGCUACACUGAAGGAAUCAGCGUGUCUUCCCUGUCCGAAAGGACCGGGUAAUCCGCUGAACCUCCUUUGUGCUAGGGAUUGGGGCUUGCAAUUGUUCCCCAGAACGAGGAAUCCCAGUAAGCGCGAUCAUUGCU